GUAUUUAUAGCGCAUCUUCUUCCUUUUUUCCCCCUUAUCGAAGUUUGUGGUUCUAUUGGAAUUGAGUUUUUGAAUGUCUUCAAAUUUACGCCCUAGUUCCUGUUUACUUUGAUUUCUAAUUUAAGUUCAUGCAGAAAAUUCUUCCCUCUUGUGUAUGCAAUUCUGUCAAUUCUUAUGCAAUUUCAAUUUCUACAUAUUUCCAACAACUUUGAGAAGGGCCCUAAUAUAUAUCUGGUUCUAUUGUUUUCUUUUAAUUCUUGACAAAUGACAGAAUUACAUUAUUCUUCUCCUCUGGUUUAUAAUAUCUGUUUGACAUUGGAAUUAAUGAUGUUUGAUUAGGCUGGCGACCUAAUUUAGGCCAUUACUUAAGGCACUUGCAAAUUUUACAUACUUAGUAUUGGCAUGUUUAGCCUGUAUACUGAGGACAUUCCAAAUUGUAAGAAUUGUAGUUCUCCUUUGUUAUUUGUAACCUCUCAAUAUUGAAAGCAAGAAUGUGUUCUAUUGGUGCUCUAAGCAAAAAAAUUUGAACAAAAAUUGCCAGUUUCUU
This 547-nucleotide unclassified non-coding RNA is filed under the name Hevea brasiliensis (rubber tree). Lineage: Eukaryota; Viridiplantae; Streptophyta; Magnoliopsida; Malpighiales; Euphorbiaceae. The record is from RNAcentral.